Molecule: ribosomal RNA, 478 nt
Filed under: uncultured organism
Description: partial 16S ribosomal RNA
Rfam family: Bacterial small subunit ribosomal RNA
Source: RNAcentral
CGUACACUCCUGCGGGAGGCAGCAGUGGGGAAUUUUGGACAAUGGGCGAAAGCCUGAUCCAGCCAUGCCGCGUGCAGGAUGAAGGCCUUCGGGUUGUAAACUGCUUUUGUACGGAACGAAACGGCCUUUUCUAAUAAAGAGGGCUAAUGACGGUACCGUAAGAAUAAGCACCGGCUAACUACGUGCCAGCAGCCGCGGUAAUACGUAGGGUGCAAGCGUUAAUCGGAAUUACUGGGCGUAAAGCGUGCGCAGGCGGGUAUGUAAGACAGUUGUGAAAUCCCCGGGCUCAACCUGGGAACUGCAUCUGUGACUGCAUAGCUAGAGUACGGUAGAGGGGGAUGGAAUUCCGCGUGUAGCAGUGAAAUGCGUAGAUAUGCGGAGGAACACCGAUGGCGAAGGCAAUCCCCUGGACCUGUACUGACGCUCAUGCACGAAAGCGUGGGGAGCAAACAGGAUUAGAUACCCGAGUAGUCCCAUG